RNAcentral lists this long non-coding RNA (6806 nucleotides) under Sus scrofa (pig). Its description in RNAcentral is "lncRNA (ENSSSCG00000056528.1)". The record is from RNAcentral. Lineage: Eukaryota; Metazoa; Chordata; Mammalia; Artiodactyla; Suidae.
UUUCACAUUAAGAGAAUACACUCAGGUAUCACAACUUGGCCAGUCUUGCUACCAGUAAGUGGCAGAACCAGGAUUUGAACCUUAAUUUUCAGAUACCAAAGCUUAGAUAUACUAUUCUGUGGCAGCAAUCAGCAGCAUCCCUCAUUGGGAGAUUUCUAAUCUGUUAUUGAUUAGCUUAAAUUGUUGGAAAGUUAUUUCACAUACUGAACCAAAAUCUGUUUCUUUUUACCUCUAUAUAAAAUUGCCCUGUGGGCGCCACAGAGAAUGUCCACCUUUCUUUUUCCUGACAGUCAUUUUCAAAUCCCUGAGUAAAACUGUCCAGUGUGAUAGUUAGGGAUUCAUAAAGAAGUGGCACCUAAAGAAAAAUCAUUGCAUUUGGAUUGGUGCAAAUGAGAGGAACAGACACUUAACAUAAUCAGAUGUGAUGAUAAUAGAAGGACUGACUGAGUGCCUGCUGGGUCCAGCCCUGUACUCACCACUUUCCAUGCAGCAUCUCACACAUCAAGUAAUUCUCAUGACUGUGCAGUAGGGGAAUAAUGUUCUCAUUUUACAGAUGCAAAAAAUGGACUCAAGAGAUGUAAAAUAAUCCAGUUCACCCAGGUAUUAAGUGACAGAGAUUUGAAACCAGAGUUAUGUGAUUCUAAAGGAUGUUUUUUGUCCUAGUUUAGGCUUCAUCUUGGCUGCAUAAAUUAUAACAGUAUAUUUGUUGAUCGGUUUGAAUUCAAUGAAGUACAAGCAAAAAGACCUUAUUGUUUGUCAGUCACUAUCUCAGAUAUACAGUGCCAAUUUACUCUAUUUUUGUCCUCUUAACAUUUUAAGAAGAUUCCAUUGUUUUUAAGUCUAAGAGCUCAAUCUCAUUUCUUUCCCUCUCUUCAGCUCAGACCCAAGAAUGCAAGCCCAAAUAACCUGUAGGGAAGAACAUGUUCUAUACAAUUAAUCUUUUUUCGCUUUUCUCUUUUUUUGCCCUUUUUCAUUGGCAUUUAAGGCAAGGAACAGGGAAAACAGUGCAGGUCAAGUGACUCUUAGCUGAUGCUGUUGUAAUCCUUCCUGACUCUUGCUAGUUUUUCAUGUAACUGAACAGCUACUGAUGCUGUCUGUAAGGCCAGCAUUUAACACUAUAGAUUUAGGAAAAAUGAAGGAGUAAGGGGAGGCAAGUUCUGGUUUGGAGGCCAGGAAAGAUGACAUUUAUGGAAAAGUGAAAACUAAGAAAGCGAGCUGUUUCAGGAUGGGCAAAAUCCAACAGGCAUGGUGGAAGGCAUGCACCUCUUACGUGAUGACUUAAAAUGGAAAGACAGCUUUUGCUUUGUGGAACUGAUGUGUUCUGGCUAAUGGUUCUAAAAUGAACUCAAUUUUCCUUCUUAACUGCUAUUAUGGAAUCAAGGCCGUAUCCCCACAAGAAAAAAAAAAGGAAAAUCCUCAAAAGACUCAAUUAAAAACUUUUGGUGAAGAUGUAUUUGAAAGGGUAGCCAGCUCCCUAGGUCCUAUGGGAUUGCUGUCCCACUUAAUCGUCCGCCUCCUCUUUGCUAUAGUUUUUUGACUCCUUUGUCUCCCAUAGGCUGUCAGGGCCACUAUUGCUCCCUUUGGGAUAGAAUGUUCAUGCAUGUCUAUUAUAGGAGAAAUGACUGCACGGUCCUAAAACAUUGGGAGUUUUCUGGCUGACUAUAGAAGAUGUCACAUAUUUGCAUACAGGUUUUACGUGCUUAUCCACUGCCAUUUAUCACCUUUGGAACAUUUCUAAAAAUAAGACAACCUACUGAGAGCAGCCAUGAGAGAUAACUGUGACCUGUAUGUCUUUAUCUCUACAUGAGCAAAAAUCCUCCAAAACGUCAUCUAUAGACAAGGCAUUUUCUAUUUCAUCAAACUCUUAGUUGGCCUGUAGAUUUGCCAUACUUUGUGUCUGUAUAAUAUCUAUUGAUCUGCCUAUUAUGAGAAAGCUCUCUUUUGAACCAGUUAUGAGAAAACUCAAUUGAGCAAAUGGUAAGCUAUGUCCCUAACUCUGUCCCCUGGGUGAUUUGAUCUUGGGUACCAGUAGAGGCUACUGAGAUUUGGAAGGAGAGCAUGCACAGAAGAAACCAGGAGACUGAAGAAUUUAGGGAUACCUUGGGGAAGAGAAGAGGCAUAAAAGGGAGGAAAUGGCUACUGGCAAAGAUAAGAUCUUGCUUUAGAAAUAUCCUUGUACUGGUUUCUAUGCAGAAAACCUAUAAUACCAAUCCUAUUGAAAAGACUGGGUCAAUAGAGUCACCUCCUAACUCUCAAUUUAUAGCACCUACAACUUUCUCUAACUUUGUUACAGCUGAAGGAAGGAGUCAUGUUGAUAGAAAAUACUAUUACAGCUCUUUUUGAAAAGAAAAAGAUUUUCACAAAUGCUUCCCUUCUCAUUUAUUGUCACUACCAUUUUCCCCCAGACUAUUCUCAUUCUCAGCCCACGUAGGAAAUCAGAAGAUAAUUUAAAAUUAAAUGAUGAUGGCUCAGAGCUUAACACACUUAAAAAAGACAGAGGAAAGAAAAGCAUCACAUCUUUACAGGGCUGAGAGUGAUGGCUGGAAGCUUGCUAAGGAUGCCCAGCAGAGCUGUUGGCAAGUGGGCUCAUCACACUUUGUGUGACAACAGAGGACCCACAAGACAUUAUCCUUCCUCAGGCCAUGGGAUAGUGACUGAGGUCAUGGAAACCUAGGGGAGAGAGUUGAGAAAGAAUGGAAAGAAGGUUCAGAGAGAGAUUUUAUGAGUUAGGAAAAUUAGAUUGAAUCCUUAGUUUACUAAUUACUACUUUGUAAUAUAAUCCUUCUAAGCAUUUCUUUCUUUACCUAUGAAAAUGUCUUCAUAGAAUAUCUGUGAAAAGUAAAUUUACAUAUGUACAUACAUUUAUAGCUGUGGGUAUAUAUAUGCAUAUACAUGUAUACACAAUCACACAUACAUAUGUAAGUCUCAAUCAGCACAGGAAUCAACACAUAAAAAAUUCCUUACAAAUGGUAAGAAUAAAAUAAAAUAUAUAAUAAGAAUAAACUAUUCUUAUUAUAAGGUGUAGCAUUUAUUUCAGCUUGUCUUUACUUCCACUUGCCCCCAUGUGAUGGUGUACAAAUCACUGAAAAGGAUCUAUUUCCUUUCAAGGUUCUCUGACUGUUAGAAGUAAAAAGAGCAGAGGUGUUAAAGUCUCACAAAGCAAAAUUCAGAUUUGUGCUCUGCCACUUAUGAGCUAUGGAAUAUUGGACAAGUUAUCUUUUGAUCUCAGAGCUCACAUAUGGAUAAUGGCAUUAUUUAUUAUUCCACUUCAUGGCUGGGAAAUUUAACAAGGGGAAAAGUAUGUAGCAGUGCUGAGAGUAAUCCCUGAUAUAUAACAUAUACUAAACCAGGGGUUGGCAAACUUCUGUCAAGGGUCAGAUCAUAAAUAUUUUAGGCUUUGCAGGCACUCAAGUUAGUCAUCAUAGCAUGAAAGCAGCCAGAGGCAAUAUGUAAGGGAGUAAGCAUGGCUGUGUUCCAAUAAAACUUUAUUUAAAAAGGACAGGUUUUGGCCUGUGAUCUGUAGUUUUCAAAUCCCAGCACUUAGCCUAUAUUGGUAUCUCCCCCUUUCCUCAAUCUGUCUUCUUUGAGAUUUGGGUUUUACAUAAUGUUCAAAAUAUAUAAUGUGUAUAAUGUUAAAAAUAGCACUACUUAAAGACAGAUUGAUUUAUUGAGCAUCUGUUGGGUACAAUGGACAAAGUCAAGUGGAAUGAAUAAAACAGAGUGAAUAAAAAUUUACUUCUACUCAUGAGGUACUUAAAGGGUAACAGAAAGUGACUGACUUAUCUAAGCUUGGUCUUUUUAGCCAGAAAGUGGUUUAAGAGUAUUUAUUUCUUUGGGUUAUUGGAGGAUGAAAUAAAGCAUCAGGAGUUCCCGUUGUGGCGCGGUGGUUAACGAAUCUGACUAGGAACCAUGAGGUUGUAGGUUCGAUCCCUGGCCUUGCCCAGUGGGUUAAGGACCCGGCGUUGCUGUGAGCUGUGGUGAAGGUUGCAGACGUGGCUUGGAUCCCAUGUUGCUGUGGCUCUGGUGUAGGCCGGCGGCUACAGCUCCCAUUGGACCCCCUAGCCUGGGAACCUCCAUAUGCCGUGGGAGAGGCCCAAGAAAUGGCAAAAAGACAAAAAAUAAAAAAAUUAAAAAAAUAAAGCAUCAUAUUUAAGUGUAUAUGCCAUACAAACCAUUAUGGAGAAAUGGUUAUUGGACUUUUUUUCUAUCAAGAACUGUAAAACUGAACGAAAUGUAUAAAGACAUUGUUUUCAGAUAUUGGACAACAGAAAGCACAGGUCAGCAAUGCUUGAGAUAAGGAAAACACCCAUUUUCAUUUCUGCUUUCUGCCUGCAACCACUAUUCAAACCUAAGCACAGAGAAGUGGAGCACAAUUUUUGAAAAGUUGAGACCAAUUUUUUAAAAGUGUUUUUAUUUCUUUUUAAAGCAGUAGUUUCACUAGAUAGAGACAAGAGAGGUUAGAAUUUAGGGCUGCUGAUGUAGCUAGAAGUUACACAUCAGCUUACUGAGGAAAGGGCAUAUAUAUGCAUAGAGAAGAUGGCUUCAAAAAUCUUCAUAAGGGUCCCCUUGAGUUUUUGGGUGAGUAGAAAGCAGUAUAUGCAAAGAUCGAGUGUCAGUUUGAUUAGGCAGAGGAUUGCUAUUGGAUAACUGUGAACUAAACAGAAUCUUAGAGAUUUCAUAGUGCAGGAUCCAUCUGAGUUAUAUCCACUAAAAUAGAGGGACUUCAUAAAUACCCAGGGCAUUCAAUUGAGACCCCAGAAAAGUUACAGUUUAAGAGUAGGGCUGAGGGGAGAUCAAGAUGGUGGAGUAGGAGGAUAUGGAGCUCACCUCCCCCCUAAACACAUCAAAAAUGCAUAUACAGCUCUCACAGAAAACCAAUUGGAAGUGGUCAGAAGAUUGCCUACAAAACCAAAGCUGCAAGAAAGAUCUCCAUGUAACCAGGCAGGAUGGGGAAAAAAGGCAUCUAGGAUGGGACUGGUGCCCCGGGAAGGAUCUGUAAGGGAGAGAAGGUCCACAUGGGCAGACCCUCAACUUGGGUAGCCCCCUGCCUGUUGGGAAACCCAUUGGAACAGAUAGCAGGGCUAGAGAAGCCUAGAAUCUACUCAAGAGGAGUGUGCACAUGAUGCCUUGCUAACAAUCAAGAUGGAGAGAGACCUGAACUGGUGGGUGCAGCUUUCUGUACUUCUCAGUUCAAAGGGGCAAACACCUCAGCCCCUCUCCACACAGUGACCUGGCAUGAGAUCAGGGCAGAGAUUCAGUCUGCUGCAUAGAGAUAGACUGGCGCACCUGGGCUGUGGCUUAUGCUGGACAACAGAAGCCAAUGUCAGCACUCACACACGGGGACAGCAGUUUGAAUUAGGCAACACUGUCAGUGCACACACUGAGGUGAACUAGGCAGACAUUGUCAACAUGUGCAGCAGUUGAUGCCACAAAUACACUCAGAAGCUAAGCACUGAAUCUCAGGGAGAGGCUCAAUCUAGUCACACAGAAGUAGCCUGGAGGGCCUGGGAUGUGAUUGAGGGGAGCCAGAGAGUGAAUUGUUGGUGCACACACAGCAGGGGCUGGUCUGGCUAUGGCAGACAUUGUUGGUGCAUGCAAUGGGUGGCAUUAGAGGGAUGCACACUGGCUGGGUAUUGAGUGUCAGAUGGAAAGGACCAAGGCAGGAAUACAUAGAAGUUUGUUUGCCAUCAGAGCACUCUGGCUCUGCUUGCUCCACACUGCAGCUUAAAGCCAUAUAUGGGGCAGAGAGGUACUGAGGGCUGCCACAAGGUAGCCCAGCCCCAGAUGGCAGGACAGCCACCUUGAUUUCUGAAACCACAAUGUCCCAGUCCUUAGCCCCAGCCUACUCCAUGCCACAGCCUAGCAUUAGGUCUGGGAUGAACACAAAGGAGAAUGUGACAAAACCUUGAGCUGUUUCUGGGUGGUACUCCAGCUGCCUGUACAAGUAGCACAUAGGUUCACUAUGACAGCAUGGGACUCACUUGCUUCAGUGGUCACUUGCUUUGGGGCAGCACACUCACUCAAGGGCAAUGAGGCUGCAUCAAACCUAACCCUUUGGACUUCUACUCUGACAGCUGGGGAGCAGACCCUGCACCCAACAAGGUGAUGACAGCCAUGAAGCAAAAAGGAGGUCCUAUGCAACAUCCAAAGCAGGCGCUGGAUACCACAGCACUAAUCACACCCCCUAUCAAGGGGAUAAUGUCCAGCACACUCUUGAAGAAAGAUGUGGCUGGCAUCAAACCAAAAACAACCCUUACACUGGAAAUACUAGACUCACCCAGACUGUACCAGGAUCCUCCCACAUCAAAACACCCCUCUAGGACCAUAGUAGACAAUUGUUUCUCCUAAAUUCAUAGAGAUAGAAAGUUACAUAAAAUUAAAAAGCAGAGGAACUAUUCCCAAUUAAAAGAACAAGAGAAAUCCCCUGAAAAUAUAAGUAAUGAAACAAAUCUCACCAGUCUACUAGACUGCAAGUUCAAAAAGGAGGUAAUAAAAAUGCUAAAAGAAUUAAGAAAGAUUAUCAAUGGAAAUGCAUUGAUCACUGUAACAUGGAACUAGAAACCAUAAGGAUGAACCAGUUAAAAUUAGAUAAAUCAAUUGCUGAGAUAAAAACCAACCUAGGAGUUCCUAUGUGGCUCAGCAGAUUAAGGAUCUGGCAUCGUCACUGCAGUGGUUUGGGUCACUGCUGUGGCAUGGCCUGGGCGCUUCCACAGGCCUUGGGCAUGGCCAACAGGAAAAAAAAAGUUCUGGAAGCAAUGAAUAGCAGACUAAAUGACAAGAAUGAAUAGGUGAUCUGGAAGAUAGAA